RNAcentral lists this non-coding RNA (205 nucleotides) under Acidocella aminolytica. Lineage: Bacteria; Pseudomonadati; Pseudomonadota; Alphaproteobacteria; Acetobacterales; Acidocellaceae. RNAcentral also lists the same sequence under 1 other name. The record is from RNAcentral.
UGUGCGGGGGACCGUGCUGGUGCCUGGCUUAUGUCAGGCCAAAAGGGAAUGCGAUAGGGGCCCCGCCCUGAAUCGCAGCCGCCCCCGCGACCGUGACCGGAGAGGUUGCCCAAUGCCACUGGCGAUAAGCCGGGAAGGCGGGCGCCGCAGGGCUUCAUCGCCCCUAUCCGCAAGCCGGGAGACCUGCCAGCGCAAAGGGUUUUGA